UAAAGCACUUAGCCAUAGCACAUUUCAGUCGUGAGGAAGGUGGUGUUGUUAAUAGCAGCAUCAUUUGACGUUAGCGACAGAAGAAGCACCGGCUAACUCCGUGCCAGCAGCCGCGGUAAUACGGAGGGUGCGAGCGUUAAUCGGAAUUACUGGGCGUAAAGCGCAUGCAGGUGGUUUGUUAAGUCAGAUGUGAAAGCCCGGGGCUCAACCUCGGAAUAGCAUUUGAAACUGGCAAGCUAGAGUACUGUAGAGGGGGGUAGAAUUUCAGGUGUAGCGGUGAAAUGCGUAGAGAUCUGAAGGAAUACCGGUGGCGAAGGCGGCCCCCUGGACAGAUACUGACACUCAGAUGCGAAAGCGUGGGGAGCAAACAGGAUUAGAUACCCUGGUAGUCCACGCCGUAAACGAUGUCUACUUGGAGGUUGUGGCCUUGAGCCGUGGCUUUCGGAGCUAACGCGUUAAGUAGACCGCCUGGGGAGUACGGUCGCAAGAUUAAAACUCAAAUGAAUUGACGGGGGNCCGCACAAGCGGUGGAGCAUGUGGUUUAAUUCGAUGCAACGCGAAGAACCUUACCUACUCUUGACAUCUACAGAAUCCUGCGGAGACGCNGGAGUGCCUUCGGGAACUGUAAGACAGGUGCUGCAUGGCUGUCGUCAGCUCGUGUUGUGAAAUGUUGGGUUAAGUCCCGCAACGAGCGCAACCCUUAUCCUUGUUUGCCAGCGAGUCAUGUCGGGAACUCCAGGGAGACUGCCGGUGAUAAAGAUUCGACCGGAGGAAGGUGGGGACGACGUCAA
This 791-nucleotide ribosomal RNA is filed under the name Vibrio diazotrophicus. RNAcentral describes it as "bacterial SSU rRNA". It matches the Rfam family "Bacterial small subunit ribosomal RNA", at positions 409 to 1188 of the family's 1533-position model. The record is from RNAcentral. Lineage: Bacteria; Pseudomonadati; Pseudomonadota; Gammaproteobacteria; Vibrionales; Vibrionaceae.